This is a long non-coding RNA of Candoia aspera, 681 nucleotides long. RefSeq lists it as uncharacterized. The transcript is spliced from 3 exons. The record is from RefSeq and is a predicted model, not a curated record. NCBI's taxonomy places the organism in Eukaryota, Metazoa, Chordata, Lepidosauria, Squamata, Candoiidae.
GAAGUGAUGAGUAAGAUUGAGCUCACCUAGUAAAUGGGUGCUUCAUGACCUCCCACAACUAUCAUAGCGGCCAUUUUCUGAGAGUGCUCCUGUCAUGCUAUCAAAAUUUCAGAUGCAUCUUGAGCCCAAACAGUCUGCCUACCCAUUUAAAACAAUGCUAUGAUGGUCCUGGAAAGCUGCUCUUUCUUUGAAUUUGGAGAAUGGGUCUAAGUUGCUGUAUGGAAGCAAAUUUGGGAUGGGUGACCUUUCAGUGGCUGGGAUCCCAUUUAACAGCUUUUAAGGAGGCCACAGUGGCUGAAAUUCUUCUCCUCCAUAGUCAGUCUGAAGGCUGCUGCCAUGAAUGUCUCGUCCAUUGAGUAAGGCACGCCAUUACUGAACCUAACUUAUAAACCUGAAAUAAUUUGCAGAUCAAAGAAGAAGAAAAAAUAGGGCAACUAGCAGAUUAAGAAUUCUGCAGUUUGCUAAUCAUUCUUGUAUUGCUUAAUUAUAUUCCUAAUCAAAAUUAAUUAUGAUUAAUUAUAUGCUGAAUCAGAAAGAUAGAUUUAGGGAUUACAUAUUUAAAUUGGAGAUGCACACCAAUCACAAGAUUGAGUUGAGACCCAAUUCUGUGAUUUACAAAUCUCUUUUGUCAGUGUUGGUUUUUGUUUGGCUUUAACACAAUGUGAUGGUAAAUCCAUCUGA